UGGGGAAUAUUGCACAAUGGGCGCAAGCCUGAUGCAGCCAUGCCGCGUGUGUGAAGAAGGUCUCCGGGUUGUAAAGCACUUUCAGCGGGGAGGAAGGCGAUAAGGUUAAUAACCUCAUCGAUUGACGUUACCCGCAGAAGAAGCACCGGCUAACUCCGUGCCAGCAGCCGCGGUAAUACGGAGGGUGCAAGCGUUAAUCGGAAUUACUGGGCGUAAAGCGCACGCAGGCGGUCUGUCAAGUCGGAUGUGAAAUCCCCGGGCUCAACCUGGGAACUGCAUUCGAAACUGGCAGGCUAGAGUCUUGUAGAGGGGGGUAGAAUUCCAGGUGUAGCGGUGAAAUGCGUAGAGAUCUGGAGGAAUACCGGUGGCGAAGGCGGCCCCCUGGACAAAGACUGACGCUCAAGUGCGAAAGCGUGGGGAGCAAACAGG
This 429-nucleotide ribosomal RNA is filed under the name Chloroflexota bacterium. Its description in RNAcentral is "Chloroflexi bacterium partial 16S ribosomal RNA". It matches the Rfam family "Bacterial small subunit ribosomal RNA", at positions 355 to 776 of the family's 1533-position model. The record is from RNAcentral. Lineage: Bacteria; Bacillati; Chloroflexota.